UUAGAGUUUGAUCCCGGCUCAGAUUGAACGCUGGCGGCAGGCCUAACACAUGCAAGUCGAGCGGAUGACGGGAGCUUGCUCCUUGAUUCAGCGGCGGACGGGUGAGUAAUGCCUAGGAAUCUGCCUGGUAGUGGGGGACAACGUUUCGAAAGGAACGCUAAUACCGCAUACGUCCUACGGGAGAAAGCAGGGGACCUUCGGGCCUUGCGCUAUCAGAUGAGCCUAGGUCGGAUUAGCUAGUUGGUGAGGUAAUGGCUCACCAAGGCGACGAUCCGUAACUGGUCUGAGAGGAUGAUCAGUCACACUGGAACUGAGACACGGUCCAGACUCCUACGGGAGGCAGCAGUGGGGAAUAUUGGACAAUGGGCGAAAGCCUGAUCCAGCCAUGCCGCGUGUGUGAAGAAGGUCUUCGGAUUGUAAAGCACUUUAAGUUGGGAGGAAGGGCAGUAAGUAAUACCUUGCUGUUGCGUA
Molecule: ribosomal RNA, 471 nt
Filed under: Pseudomonas sp. PNP6
Lineage: Bacteria; Pseudomonadati; Pseudomonadota; Gammaproteobacteria; Pseudomonadales; Pseudomonadaceae
Description: bacterial SSU rRNA
Rfam family: Bacterial small subunit ribosomal RNA
Source: RNAcentral